UGCAGUCGAACGAUGAUCCGGUGCUUGCACCGGGGAUUAGUGGCGAACGGGUGAGUAACACGUGAGUAACCUGCCCUUAACUCUGGGAUAAGCCUGGGAAACUGGGUCUAAUACCGGAUAUGACUGAUCAUCGCAUGGUGGUUGGUGGAAAGCUUUUUGUGGUUUUGGAUGGACUCGCGGCCUAUCAGCUUGUUGGUGAGGUAAUGGCUUACCAAGGCGACGACGGGUAGCCGGCCUGAGAGGGUGACCGGCCACACUGGGACUGAGACACGGCCCAGACUCCUACGGGAGGCAGCAGUGGGGAAUAUUGCACAAUGGGCGAAAGCCUGAUGCAGCGACGCCGCGUGAGGGAUGACGGCCUUCGGGUUGUAAACCUCUUUCAGUAGGGAAGAAGCGAAAGUGACGGUACCUGCAGAAGAAGCGCCGGCUAACUACGUGCCAGCAGCCGCGGUAAUACGUAGGGCGCAAGCGUUAUCCGGAAUUAUUGGGCGUAAAGAGCUCGUAGGCGGUUUGUCGCGUCUGCCGUGAAAGUCCGGGGCUCAACUCCGGAUCUGCGGUGGGUACGGGCAGACUAGAGUGAUGUAGGGGAGACUGGAAUUCCUGGUGUAGCGGUGAAAUGCGCAGAUAUCAGGAGGAACACCGAUGGCGAAGGCAGGUCUCUGGGCAUUAACUGACGCUGAGGAGCGAAAGCAU
RNAcentral lists this ribosomal RNA (693 nucleotides) under Pseudarthrobacter siccitolerans. Its description in RNAcentral is "bacterial SSU rRNA". It matches the Rfam family "Bacterial small subunit ribosomal RNA", at positions 56 to 762 of the family's 1533-position model. The record is from RNAcentral. Lineage: Bacteria; Bacillati; Actinomycetota; Actinomycetes; Micrococcales; Micrococcaceae.